Molecule: transfer RNA, 71 nt
Filed under: Marmota monax (woodchuck)
Lineage: Eukaryota; Metazoa; Chordata; Mammalia; Rodentia; Sciuridae
Description: tRNA.Ala
Source: RNAcentral
GGGGUUGUGGCUCAGAGGUUGAGCUUUCACUUAGCACGUGCCAGGCCCUAGGUUCGAUCCUCAGCACCACA